Molecule: ribosomal RNA, 253 nt
Filed under: uncultured bacterium
Lineage: Bacteria
Description: partial 16S ribosomal RNA
Rfam family: Bacterial small subunit ribosomal RNA
Source: RNAcentral
UACGUAGGGGGCAAGCGUUGUCCGGAUUUAUUGGGCGUAAAGAGCGUGUAGGCGGCCUUACAGGUCAGCUGUGAAAACUCGAGGCUCAACCUCGAGACGUCGGUUGAAACCGUAAGGCUAGUGUCCGGAAGAGGAGAGUGGAAUUCCCGGUGUAGCGGUGAAAUGCGCAGAUAUCUGGAGGAACACCGGUGGCGAAGGCGGCAUCCUGGACCGGCAUUGACGCUGAGGCGCGAAAGCCAGGGGAGCAAACGGG